UCCCCUUUAAAAAUUUAAAUAGUGAAAAACCCCAUUAAAACAAGAAAUGCAAUGUGUGGGAGGAUGGCAGAAGCAGGUAAAGGUCCCCAACCCCUUAAGGACACACGACAGAAAUAUUCCGUCAUGAUUCCCUUUUAUUCCAGAAGUUGUGUCCCCAAGGGGCUAAAGAUCUUCUUACCUGUAAUCUGCGUUCCCAAUUGCACCCAAACUUCUGACACCAGUUUGUUGGGGAUAAAAUCAGCCCGGGCCCUUUGGGGAUGAUGGAUAUUUGCC
Molecule: non-coding RNA, 273 nt
Organism: Pelobates cultripes (western spadefoot toad)
Lineage: Eukaryota; Metazoa; Chordata; Amphibia; Anura; Pelobatidae
Source: the annotation of a GenBank genome assembly